GUUAGUUGGUGAGGUAAAGGCCCACCAAGACGAUGAUACGUAGCCGACCUGAGAGCCGGUAAUCGGCCACAUUGGGACUGAGACACGGCCCAAACUCCUACGGGCCAGGCAGCAGUAGGGAAUCUUCCACAAUGGACGAAAGUCUGAUGGAGCAAUGCCGCGUGAGUGAAGAAGGGUUUCGGCUCGUAAAACUCUGUUGUUAAAGAAGAACAGGCCUUUGAGAGUAACUGUUCAAGGGUUGACGGUAUUUAACCAGAAAGCCACGGCUAACUACGUGCCAGCAGCCGCGGUAAUACGUAGGUGGCAAGCGUUGUCCGGAUUUAUUGGCCGCGUAAAGCGAGCGCAGGCGGUUUUGGUUAAGUC
RNAcentral lists this ribosomal RNA (363 nucleotides) under Levilactobacillus brevis. RNAcentral describes it as "bacterial SSU rRNA". It matches the Rfam family "Bacterial small subunit ribosomal RNA", at positions 244 to 589 of the family's 1533-position model. Lineage: Bacteria; Bacillati; Bacillota; Bacilli; Lactobacillales; Lactobacillaceae. The record is from RNAcentral.